AGCAGUCGCCGCGGGAAUACGUAGGGUGCAAGCGUUAAUCGGAAUUACUGGGCGUAAAGCGUGCGCAGGCGGUUCGUUAAGACAGAUGUGAAAUCCCCGGGCUUAACCUGGGAACUGCAUUUGUAACUGGCGGGCUAGAGUAUGGCAGAGGGGGGUAGAAUUCCACGUGUAGCAGUGAAAUGCGUAGAGAUGUGGAGGAACACCGAUGGCGAAGGCAGCCCCCUGGGCCAAUACUGACGCUCAUGCACGAAAGCGUGGGGAGCAAACAGGAUCAGAUACCCCCGUAGUCCCUGUCUCUUAUAC
Molecule: ribosomal RNA, 303 nt
Filed under: uncultured bacterium
Lineage: Bacteria
Description: partial 16S ribosomal RNA
Rfam family: Bacterial small subunit ribosomal RNA
Source: RNAcentral